GGGGGCGUAAAGGUUUCGACGGGGGUAGUAGAGAUCGAGGUAGCGAGCGGUGGUCCCAGAGGCACUUUAAAAAGCUGGAAAUUAAAUUUAAACGCUAACGAAAAUUACGCGUUAGCUGCCUAAUGGCAGCCGUCUUACCUUAAGUUACCUCACUUUAGGAUAAGGCGUCAUUUAGAGGUGAACGUUACUGUCAAAGCUUUGAGACAGAUAACGCAUUAUGAAGCUACUGAAGCCAUAAGUUUGACGGAGGACGUAUGGUAGAGGGAAUGUAAAAUCACCGUCUGCGCUCGGAGAAGCUUUGGUUGAAGCACUUUCGGACAGGGGUUCGAUUCCCCUCGCCUCCACCA
Molecule: transfer-messenger RNA, 347 nt
Filed under: Clostridiales bacterium GWB2_37_7
Lineage: Bacteria; Bacillati; Bacillota; Clostridia; Eubacteriales
Also listed under: 1 other name
Rfam family: transfer-messenger RNA
About the family: Bacterial tmRNA, also known as 10Sa RNA or SsrA, is named for its dual tRNA and mRNA-like properties. Its role is to liberate the mRNA from a stalled ribosome.
Source: RNAcentral